Molecule: ribosomal RNA, 253 nt
Filed under: uncultured bacterium
Lineage: Bacteria
Description: partial 16S ribosomal RNA
Rfam family: Bacterial small subunit ribosomal RNA
Source: RNAcentral
UACAGAGGUCUCAAGCGUUGUUCGGAAUCACUGGGCGUAAAGGGUGCGUAGGCCGCACGGUAAGUCAGAGGUGAAAUCCCGGAGCUCAACUUCGGAAUUGCCUCCGAUACUGCCGUGCUUGAGGACUGGAGAGGAGUCUGGAAUUCACAGUGGAGCAGUGAAAUGCGUAGAUAUUGUGAGGAAUACUAGUGGCGAAGGCGAGACUCUGGACAGUUCCUGACGCUGAGGCACGAAGGCCAGGGGAGCAAACGGG